This 887-nucleotide ribosomal RNA is filed under the name uncultured bacterium. Its description in RNAcentral is "bacterial SSU rRNA". It matches the Rfam family "Bacterial small subunit ribosomal RNA", at positions 8 to 853 of the family's 1533-position model. The record is from RNAcentral.
AGAGUUUGAUCAUGGCUCAGGACGAACGCUGGCGGCGUGCGUAAUACAUGCAAGUCGAGCGAGCUUGCCCUAGAUGAUUUUAGUGCUUGCACUAAAUGAAACUAGAUACAAGCGAGCGGCGGACGGGUGAGUAACACGUGGGUAACCUGCCCAAGAGACUGGGAUAACACCUGGAAACAGAUGCUGAUACCGGAUAACAACACUAGACGCAUGUCUAGAGUUUGAAAGAUGGUUCUGCUAUCACUCUUGGAUGGACCUGCGGUGCAUUAGCUAGUUGGUAAGGUAACGGCUUACCAAGGCAAUGAUGCAUAGCCGAGUUGAGAGACUGAUCGGCCACAUUGGGACUGAGACACGGCCCAAACUCCUACGGGAGGCAGCAGUAGGGAAUCUUCCACAAUGGACGAAAGUCUGAUGGAGCAACGCCGCGUGAGUGAAGAAGGGUUUCGGCUCGUGAAGCUCUGUUGGUAGUGAAGAAAGAUAGGGGUAGUAACUGGCCUUUAUUUGACGGUAAUUACUUAGAAAGUCACGGCUAACUACGUGCCAGCAGCCGCGGUAAUACGUAGGUGGCAAGCGUUGUCCGGAUUUAUUGGGCGUAAAGCGAGUGCAGGCGGUUCAAUAAGUCUGAUGUGAAAGCCUUCGGCUCAACCGGAGAAUUGCAUCAGAAACUGUUGAACUUGAGUGCAGAAGAGGAGAGUGGAACUCCAUGUGUAGCGGUGGAAUGCGUAGAUAUAUGGAAGAACACCAGUGGCGAAGGCGGCUCUCUGGUCUGCAACUGACGCUGAGGCUCGAAAGCAUGGGUAGCGAACAGGAUUAGAUACCCUGGUAGUCCAUGCCGUAAACGAUGAGUGCUAAGUGUUGGGAGGUUUCCGCCUCUCAGUGCUGCAGCU